UACGGGGGGGGCAAGCGUUGUUCGGAAUUACUGGGCGUAAAGGGUUAGUAGGUGGUCUGCUAAGUCAGACGUGAAAUCCCUCAGCUUAACUGGGGAACUGCGUCUGAUACUGGCAGACUUGAGGACAGGAGAGGAACGCGGAAUUCCAGGUGUAGCGGUGAAAUGCGUAGAUAUCUGGAGGAACACCGGUGGCGAAGGCGGCGUUCUGGACUGUUUCUGACACUGAACAACGAAAGCCAGGGGAGCAAACGGG
This 253-nucleotide ribosomal RNA is filed under the name uncultured bacterium. RNAcentral's name for it is "partial 16S ribosomal RNA". It matches the Rfam family "Bacterial small subunit ribosomal RNA", at positions 524 to 776 of the family's 1533-position model. The record is from RNAcentral.